Molecule: ribosomal RNA, 446 nt
Filed under: uncultured bacterium
Lineage: Bacteria
Description: partial 16S ribosomal RNA
Rfam family: Bacterial small subunit ribosomal RNA
Source: RNAcentral
CCUACGGGAGGCAGCAGUCGAGAAUCAUUCACAAUGGGGGAAACCCUGAUGGUGCGACGCCGCGUGGGGGAAUGAAGGUCUUCGGAUUGUAAACCCCUGUCAUGUGGGAGCAAAUUAAAAAGAUAGUACCACAAGAGGAAGAGACGGCUAACUCUGUGCCAGCCGCCGCGGUAAUACAGAGGGCUCAAGCGUUGUUCGGAAUCACUGGGCGUAAAGCGUGCGUAGGCUGUUUCGUAAGUCGUGUGUGAAAGGCGCGGGCGUAACCCGCGGACGGCACAUGAUACUGGGAGACUAGAGUAAUGGAGGGGGAACCGGAAUGCUCGGUGUAGCAGUGAAAUGCGUAGAUAUCGAGAGGAACACUCGUGGCGAAGGCGGGUUCCUGGACAUUAACUGACGCUGAGGCACGAAGGCCAGGGGAGCGAAAGGGAUUAGAUACCCCUGUAGUC